AGUGAACGCUGGCGGUAGGCCUAACACAUGCAAGUCGAACGGUAACAGGAAGCAGCUUUCUGCUUUCCGGAGGCGUGUCGCGCGGGGGUGUGAUGUCCAUGAAAAUGUCCUUUGGCGGGGGGGAACUAGUGGAAACGGUAACGAUUAUAGCAUAACCGCCCAAGGGCAGAAAGCAGGACCUUUUGGCCCCUUGCCCUAUUAAUUGCCCAGAUGGGAUUAGCUAGUAGGUGGGGUAACGGCUCACCUAGGCGACGAUCCCUAGCUGGUCUGAGAGGAUGAGCAGCCACACUGGAACUGAGACACGGUCCAGACUCCUACGGGAGGCAGCAGUGGGGAAUAUUGGACAAUGGGCGCAAGCCUGAUGCAGCCAUGCCGCGUGUAUGAAGAAGGCCUUCGGGUUGUAAAGUCCUUUCAUUGGGGAGGAAAAGCGUAAAGUUAAUACCCUUCCUUAUUGACGUUACCCGCAGAAGAAGCACCGGCUAACUUCGUG
This 490-nucleotide ribosomal RNA is filed under the name uncultured bacterium. RNAcentral's name for it is "partial 16S ribosomal RNA". It matches the Rfam family "Bacterial small subunit ribosomal RNA", at positions 29 to 507 of the family's 1533-position model. The record is from RNAcentral.